RNAcentral lists this ribosomal RNA (563 nucleotides) under uncultured fungus. Its description in RNAcentral is "eukaryotic LSU rRNA". The stretch from base 211 to 364 matches the Rfam family "5.8S ribosomal RNA". The record is from RNAcentral. Lineage: Eukaryota; Fungi.
AGUCGUAACAAGGUCUCCGUAGGUGAACCUGCGGAGGGAUCAUUACACAAAUAUGAAGGCGGGCUGGAACCUCUCGGGGUUACAGCCUUGCUGAAUUAUUCACCCUUGUCUUUUGCGUACUUCUUGUUUCCUUGGUGGGUUCGCCCACCACUAGGACAAACAUAAACCUUUUGUAAUUGCAAUCAGCGUCAGUAACAAAUUAAUAAUUACAACUUUCAACAACGGAUCUCUUGGUUCUGGCAUCGAUGAAGAACGCAGCGAAAUGCGAUAAGUAGUGUGAAUUGCAGAAUUCAGUGGAUCAUCGAAUCUUUGAACGCACAUUGCGCCCUUUGGUAUUCCAAAGGGCAUGCCUGUUCGAGCGUCAUUUGUACCCUCAAGCUUUGCUUGGUGUUGGGCGUCUUGUCUCUAGCUUUGCUGGAGACUCGCCUUAAAGUAAUUGGCAGCCGGCCUACUGGUUUCGGAGCGCAGCACAAGUCGCACUCUCUAUCAGCAAAGGUCUAGCAUCCAUUAAGCCUUUUUUUCAACUUUUGACCUCGGAUCAGGUAGGGAUACCCGCUGAACUA